Molecule: ribosomal RNA, 784 nt
Filed under: uncultured Neisseria sp.
Lineage: Bacteria; Pseudomonadati; Pseudomonadota; Betaproteobacteria; Neisseriales; Neisseriaceae
Description: bacterial SSU rRNA
Rfam family: Bacterial small subunit ribosomal RNA
Source: RNAcentral
UCCUGGGAUAACACUGACGUUCAUGCUCGAAAGCGUGGGUAGCAAACAGGAUUAGAUACCCUGGUAGUCCACGCCCUAAACGAUGUCAAUUAGCUGUUGGGCAACUUGAUUGCUUAGUAGCGUAGCUAACGCGUGAAAUUGACCGCCUGGGGAGUACGGUCGCAAGAUUAAAACUCAAAGGAAUUGACGGGGACCCGCACAAGCGGUGGAUGAUGUGGAUUAAUUCGAUGCAACGCGAAGAACCUUACCUGGUCUUGACAUGUAUGGAAUCCUCCAGAGACGGAGGAGUGCCUUCGGGAGCCGUAACACAGGUGCUGCAUGGCUGUCGUCAGCUCGUGUCGUGAGAUGUUGGGUUAAGUCCCGCAACGAGCGCAACCCUUGUCAUUAGUUGCCAUCAUUUAGUUGGGCACUCUAAUGAGACUGCCGGUGACAAGCCGGAGGAAGGUGGGGAUGACGUCAAGUCCUCAUGGCCCUUAUGACCAGGGCUUCACACGUCAUACAAUGGUCGGUACAGAGGGUAGCCAAGCCGCGAGGUGGAGCCAAUCUCACAAAACCGAUCGUAGUCCGGAUUGCACUCUGCAACUCGAGUGCAUGAAGUCGGAAUCGCUAGUAAUCGCAGGUCAGCAUACUGCGGUGAAUACGUUCCCGGGUCUUGUACACACCGCCCGUCACACCAUGGGAGUGGGGGAUACCAGAAGUAGGUAGGGUAACCGCAAGGAGCCCGCUUACCACGGUAUGCUUCAUGACUGGGGUGAAGUCGUAACAAGGUAGCCGUAGGGGAACC